CCCCAGUAACGGCGAGUGAAGCGGCAAGAGCUCAAAUUUGAAAGCUGACUCCUUCGGGGUCCGCAUUGUAAUUUGCAGAGGAUGCUUCGGGAGCGGUCCCCAUCUAAGUGCCCUGGAACGGGACGUCAUAGAGGGUGAGAAUCCCGUAUGGGAUGGGGUGUCCGCGCCCGUGUGAAGCUCCUUCGACGAGUCGAGUUGUUUGGGAAUGCAGCUCUAAAUGGGUGGUAAAUUUCAUCUAAAGCUAAAUAUUGGCCGGAGACCGAUAGCGCACAAGUAGAGUGAUCGAAAGAUGAAAAGCACUUUGAAAAGAGAGUUAAAAAGCACGUGAAAUUGUUGAAAGGGAAGCGCUUGCGACCAGACUCGCUCGCGGGGUUCAGCCGGCAUUCGUGCCGGUGUACUUCCCCGCGAGCGGGCCAGCGUCGGUUUGGGCGGUCGGUCAAAGGCCCUCGGAAGGUAACGCCCCUAGGGGCGUCUUAUAGCCGAGGGUGCAAUGCGACCUGCCUAGACCGAGGAACGCGCUUCGGCUCGGACGCUGGCAUAAUGGUCGUAAGCGACC
Molecule: ribosomal RNA, 556 nt
Filed under: Penicillium atramentosum
Lineage: Eukaryota; Fungi; Ascomycota; Eurotiomycetes; Eurotiales; Aspergillaceae
Description: eukaryotic LSU rRNA
Rfam family: Eukaryotic large subunit ribosomal RNA
Source: RNAcentral